AUUGAACGCUGGCGGCAUGCCUUACACAUGCAAGUCGAACGGUAACAGGUUAAGCUGACGAGUGGCGAACGGGUGAGUAAUACAUCGGAACGUGCCCAGUAGUGGGGGAUAGCCCGGCGAAAGCCGGAUUAAUACCGCAUACGACCUAAGGGUGAAAGGGGGGGAUCGCAAGACCUCUCGCUAUUGGAGCGGCCGAUGUCAGAUUAGCUAGUUGGUGGGGUAAAAGCUCACCAAGGCGACGAUCUGUAGCUGGUCUGAGAGGACGACCAGCCACACUGGGAAUGGGGAAACGGCCAAACUCCUAAGGGGGGCAGCAGUGGGGAAUUUUUGACAAUGGGGGGAAACCUGGUCCAGGCAUGCCGCGUGGGGGAAAAAGGCCUUCGGGUUGUAAACCGCUUUUGUCAGGGAAGAAAUCCUUUGGGUUAAUACCUCGGGGGGAUGACGGUACCUGAAGAAUAAGCACCGGCUAACUACGUG
Molecule: ribosomal RNA, 477 nt
Filed under: uncultured bacterium
Lineage: Bacteria
Description: partial 16S ribosomal RNA
Rfam family: Bacterial small subunit ribosomal RNA
Source: RNAcentral